This 440-nucleotide ribosomal RNA is filed under the name uncultured bacterium. RNAcentral describes it as "partial 16S ribosomal RNA". It matches the Rfam family "Bacterial small subunit ribosomal RNA", at positions 338 to 795 of the family's 1533-position model. The record is from RNAcentral.
CCUACGGGUGGCAGCAGUGGGGGAUAUUGCACAAUGGGGGGAACCCUGAUGCAGCGACGCCGCGUGGGUGAAGGAGCGUUUCGGCGCGUAAAGCCCUAUCGGCAGGGAAGAAGAUGACGGUACCUGACCAAGAAGCCCCGGCUAACUACGUGCCAGCAGCCGCGGUAAUACGUAGGAUGCGAGCGUUAUCCGGAUUUAUUGGGUUUAAAGGGUGCGCAGGCGGAAGCGGCAAGUCAGCGGUAAAAUUGCGGGGCUCAACCUCGCCGAGCCGUUGAAACUGCUCUUCUAGAGUGGGCGAGAAGUAUGCGGAAUGCGUGGUGUAGCGGUGAAAUGCAUAGAUAUCACGCAGAACUCCGAUUGCGAAGGCAGCAUACCGGCGCCCAACUGACGCUCAUGCACGAAAGCGUGGGUAUCGAACAGGAUUAGAUACCCCGGUAGUC